UACGUAGGUGGCAAGCGUUGUCCGGAAUUAUUGGGCGUAAAGAGCUCGUAGGCGGUUCGUCGCGUCGGCUGUGAAAUCCCGAGGCUCAACCUCGGGUCUGCAGUCGAUACGGGCGGACUGGAGUUCGGCAGGGGAGACUGGAAUUCCUGGUGUAGCGGUGAAAUGCGCAGAUAUCAGGAGGAACACCGGUGGCGAAGGCGACUACCUGGCCUGUUCUUGACGCUGAGGCGCGAAAGCUAGGGGAGCAAACGGG
This 253-nucleotide ribosomal RNA is filed under the name uncultured bacterium. RNAcentral describes it as "partial 16S ribosomal RNA". It matches the Rfam family "Bacterial small subunit ribosomal RNA", at positions 524 to 776 of the family's 1533-position model. The record is from RNAcentral.